RNAcentral lists this ribosomal RNA (397 nucleotides) under uncultured bacterium. Its description in RNAcentral is "partial 16S ribosomal RNA". It matches the Rfam family "Bacterial small subunit ribosomal RNA", at positions 523 to 918 of the family's 1533-position model. The record is from RNAcentral.
AUACGUAGGGGGCGAGCGUUAUCCGGAAUCAUUGGGCGUAAAGGGAGCGUAGGCGGCCUGUUAAGUCUGGUGUGAAAGUCCUGUUUUCAAGAUGGGAAUUGCUUUGGAUACUGAUGGGCUUGAGUGUAGGAGAGGUUAUCGGAAUUCCAGGUGUAGCGGUGAAAUGCGUAGAGAUCGGGAGGAACACCAGUGGCGAAGGCGGGUAACUGGACUGCAACUGACGCUGAGGCGCGAAAGUGUGGGGAGCAAACAGGAUUAGAUACCCUGGUAGUCCACACUGUAAACGAUGAAUGCUAGGUGUAAGAGGUAUCGACCCCUUUUGUGCCGGAGUUAACACAAUAAGCAUUCCGCCUGGGGAGUACGGCCGCAAGGUUGAAACUCAAAUGAAUUGACGGGG